AUUCCAGCUCCAAUAGCGUAUAUUAAAGUUGUUGCAGUUAAAACGCUCGUAGUUGAAAUUGUGGCAAUAAUAUUUGGUCAUCUUUAACGAGCAUGCACCUAUUGUUAUUACCAUUAUUCCAGUAUAUGCAGGGUAACCUGUGUAUUUGGAACUGUUACUUUGAGAAAAUUAGGGUGUUUCAAGUAGGCGUAAUGCUUUGAAUACUCCAGCAUGGAAUGACAAUAAAGGACUUAAAUCCUUCUUGUUGGUUUAAGGAGUUGAGUAAUAAUUAAGAGGAACAGUUGGGGGUAUUCGUAUUCAGUCGCUAGAGGUGAAAUUCUUAGAUUGACUGAAGAUGAACUAUUGCGGAGGCAUCUACCAUGGAUGUUUUCAUCG
RNAcentral lists this ribosomal RNA (375 nucleotides) under Gregarinasina sp. RNAcentral's name for it is "partial small subunit ribosomal RNA". It matches the Rfam family "Eukaryotic small subunit ribosomal RNA", at positions 582 to 975 of the family's 1831-position model. Lineage: Eukaryota; Apicomplexa; Conoidasida. The record is from RNAcentral.